AAAGACAAGACUUUCUUGAGCACGAGGUCACCUUCUCGGAACACACGAGGCUUGACCUUCUUAUCGAAUGCUUUCUUCACUCUCUGCUGAUGUAACUGACCAUGACACAUGGCAGUUAAUCUCUUCUUUUCGAUCAGAUUCAGUUGGUCGUAGCGACUCUGAAUCCAUUCAGCAUCAGUCAACUUGGGACUUUGAGGGUGCUAUUUCUCUUUUGUUUCUUUCUUUCUUUUUUCUUGAUUUUGAUUUUGAUUUUCCACCCUUCUCUUUUUUUUUUGAUUUCAUUUGUAAUGCCCCAGUUGGACUGUUUUGCUGAUUCUUGAGAUGCAGCUGAGUGAUCUUCUUUUCUUGCUCAAGAAGUCGGGAAAUCUCGUCAGGAAUCCUUU
RNAcentral lists this long non-coding RNA (383 nucleotides) under Lathyrus oleraceus (garden pea). RNAcentral describes it as "Pisum sativum (pea) long non-coding RNA (PSAT_LNC018163)". Lineage: Eukaryota; Viridiplantae; Streptophyta; Magnoliopsida; Fabales; Fabaceae. The record is from RNAcentral.